RNAcentral lists this ribosomal RNA (263 nucleotides) under uncultured bacterium. Its description in RNAcentral is "partial 16S ribosomal RNA". It matches the Rfam family "Bacterial small subunit ribosomal RNA", at positions 28 to 296 of the family's 1533-position model. The record is from RNAcentral.
GAUGAACGCUAGCGGCAGGCUUAACACAUGCAAGUCGAGGGGUAUGGCAGCAAUGCCUGAGACCGGCGCACGGGUGCGUAACGCGUAUGCAAUCUGCCUUUUACAGAGGGAUAGCCCAGAGAAAUUUGGAUUAAUACCUCAUAGUAUAAUUGAGUGGCAUCAUUUGAUUAUUAAAGAUUUAUCGGUAAAAGAUGAGCAUGCGUCCCAUUAGCUAGUUGGUAAGGUAACGGCUUACCAAGGCGACGAUGGGUAGGGGUCCUGAG